This 864-nucleotide ribosomal RNA is filed under the name uncultured archaeon. RNAcentral describes it as "bacterial SSU rRNA". It matches the Rfam family "Archaeal small subunit ribosomal RNA", at positions 1 to 872 of the family's 1478-position model. The record is from RNAcentral.
UCCCGGUGGAUCCUGCCGGAGGCUACUGCUAUGGAUUCGACUAAAGCCAUGCGAGUUCAAGUGUCUUUCGGACGCCGGCAUACGGCUCAGUAACACGUAGGUAACCUACCCUUAGGACUGGCAUAACCCCGGGAAACUGGGGCUAAUAUCAGAUAGAUAAAAGAUACUGGAAUGUUCUUUUAUCCAAAGCUUUUGUGCCUAAGGAUGGGCUGCGUCCGAUUAGGUUGUUGGUGGGGUAAUGGCCCACCAAGCCUGCGAUCGGUACGGGCAGUGGGAGCUGUAGCCCGGAGUUGGGGACUGAGACAAGGCCCCAGGCCCUACGGGGCGCAGCAGGCGCGAAACCUCUGCAAUGCGGGAAACCGUGACAGGGGGAUCCCAAGUGCUCAUGCAUUGCAUGGGCUGUUCUUUGGUCUAAGUAACCAGAGGAGUAAGGGCUGGGCAAGACCGGUGCCGGCCGCCGCGGUAAUACCGGCAGCUCGAGUGGUAGCCGCGAUUAUUGGGCCUAAAGCGUUCGUAGCCGGAUAAGUAAGUCUUUGGUUAAAUCCUGCGACUUAACCGUGGGAAAUCUAGAGAUACUGCUUGUCUUGAGACCGGGAGAGGUUGGAGGUACUCCUAGGGUAGGGGUGAAAUCCUGUAAUCCUAGGGGGACCACCUGUGGCGAAGGCGUCCAACUGGAACGGGUCUGACGGUGAGGGACGAAACCUAGGGGAGCGAGCCGGAUUAGAUACCCGGGUAGUCCUAGGCGUAAAUGAUGCGAGUUAAGUGUGGGGGCAUCUACGAGAUGGCCCUGUGCUGUAGGGUAGCCGUUAAACUCGCCGCCUGGGGAGUACGGUCGCAAGGCUGAAACUUAAAGGAAUUGGCGGG